This 253-nucleotide ribosomal RNA is filed under the name uncultured bacterium. RNAcentral's name for it is "partial 16S ribosomal RNA". It matches the Rfam family "Bacterial small subunit ribosomal RNA", at positions 524 to 776 of the family's 1533-position model. The record is from RNAcentral.
UACGUAGGGGGCAAGCGUUGUCCGGAAUCAUUGGGCGUAAAGAGCGUGUAGGCGGCCAGAGAAGUCCGCUGUGAAAACUCGAGGCUCAACUUCGAGCUGUCGGUGGAAACUUUCUGGCUAGAGUCCGGAAGAGGAGAAUGGAAUUCCUGGUGUAGCGGUGAAAUGCGCAGAUAUCAGGAAGAACACCCGUGGCGAAGGCGGUUCUCUGGGACGGUACUGACGCUGAGACGCGAAAGCGUGGGGAGCGAACAGG